ACUCCUACGGAAGGCAGCAGUGGGGAAUAUUGGACAAUGGGCGCAAGCCUGAUCCAGCCAUGCCGCGUGAGUGACGAAGGCCUUAGGGUUGUAAAGCUCUUUUGGCGGGGACGAUAAUGACGGUACCCGCAGAAUAAGCCCCGGCUAACUUCGUGCCAGCAGCCGCGGUAAU
RNAcentral lists this ribosomal RNA (172 nucleotides) under uncultured bacterium. RNAcentral's name for it is "partial 16S ribosomal RNA". It matches the Rfam family "Bacterial small subunit ribosomal RNA", at positions 335 to 524 of the family's 1533-position model. The record is from RNAcentral.